AAACUGAGGCUGAGGGCAGUUGAGAAGUGUAGCUGCUAGUGGAUAGACUGUAUGCUCCAAGCUCCUCAGUCCCUGGACCUUUCUGAGAGCAAACUUGUCUAGAGAAAGCUCUUCCUGUUCCUCCUCUUUUUUUCUUCCUCUCCUUCUUCUUCCUCCUCCUCCCCCUCUUCUUCUUCCCCCACCCCUUCCCUCUCUUCCUCUACUACUUCUCCUCCUCCUCCUUUUCUUCCAUCAAUUUAUUCAUUCACUUUCUAUCUGGGCUGCACGGGGCUGCCCCUUGGAGACACUUCUACCAAAGGCAAAAACCAGAAAGUUCUGUCUCAGCCUCCGGGUAGCCAGCCUCGAAGAAAGAAAAAGGUGGAAUGCUCACAGCACUGCAGGAAGAAGAGAACCCCUUCUCAGUUCUCCACUGGCCAGGGCACGGCUGUCAUAAGCCUGUCCAUACCUGGCACGAGACCUCCUUAGAAGGCACAAGCAGACUGCUCUGCUGGGAGAGAAGAUGCUGGAAGGGCCUUCAAGGGUGCUCGGCUCAGAUUCAAUGAGGCACGGAAGUACUUGACAGAGAGCGAUAACAAAUCCAUCCAUUUGUUCAUUCGACGCUCGUUUGUGAAGGAGGAGGGUGAUGUGCAGGCAGACGGAGGGUGAGCAAGGGAAGGGAAGCAGAUGUCAUCUACCCUUGCAGCCCUCGAUGGCCGGGACAGAGCGGGACAGCGGCCCCAGCCUGGGGAGCCGGGCAGCUUGUGUGCUGUGACCUUACUGGAUGCCGAAGCGUCUCUGUGCCUCAGUUUCCUUAUUCUGACGACACCAGGGCUGUCAUGAGGAUAGAAUAAUUAAGGGCAUGUGAUGAAGACGUGCUGGUGGUUGGAGCUGCGGCAGGUGGGGACAGAACUGGGACCAGGUGGCCCAGGGAUGGUGGCGGGUACCCCAAGCUUGCUGUUUGCUGUUGGUGCUCUUGUCUGCCUUGCAGCCCUUGGGGGCGGGCACACAGCCUCUGUUGCCCCUCGUCACCCUUCCUAGGCUCUCCUUCCUUGUACAUCUGCCCCAAGCAUCCUGAAGAAGAAUCACAAGGGUUCUUUCAAGGAGGUCUCUCCCAUUGAGCCCCUUGGAACCUUUCUCGUCUAUGAUGUGGAAGAAUGAGGGAAGCAAAAGAAAAAUUCUGACUUCUAUUUUUCCGGUGGACCAGAAGCCUGGUCUACAGCCUCAGUAAGAGGUGGAGGUCCCCCAUCAUCAGAACAUUCUUCCCUUUUCUACCCCCGUACCUCCUCCGUUCUAACAUCCAAUGUCCAGGGGGCCUAGAGACGAUGCUGUGUUUGGGAGCCCACCUGCAGUCAGCCUGUCUUGCAAUUAUUUAUCAGUGAACUCCUGCUGUAAGCACUUGACCUUCAUCCUGGAUGCUGAGAUUCGGAGGAGCGGGGAUGCCUUGAGAUGCUCCUGGUGUCGGUCAACUCUGGCCAUUGGGUAGGUGUCCCUGCUCGAUGGAUCCUGACACUUCCUCCAGCAUGGGGCGGAGUGAGCCUGCAGGGGCAGAGCAAGCUGGCAGGUGAGCAAAUUCUCUCACUGUGAUAAUGACGCUCGCUCGCUCGUGCAGCUGGGAUUCCACACCUGGAUGCCAAUGGAGACUGGGGAGAGGAGCCAGCAUCACUGGGGCUCAGACGGAUGGCAGUGAUGAGCAGUGGCCAUGCAAAAGGUUCUGGCUCCGUUCCCAGGUCCUCCCACCACCGCUAGACUUCCGAUUAUUGAGCCUAUUCCACAUGAGAAACAGUUGCGGGAACCGAAAUGAGGGCAUGUGGCUAAUAGAAGGUGAAGCCUCCUUGGAGACUGGGAGUGUGGAUGACACCUAGCGAAGGAGCCCAGCCUGGAGCUGAACAUCUCUAGUGGAGCUCUGGCUGCAGAUUGUGAAGAUGGACAAGGAGAAAAUGCUGGCCAUUGAACCUGAUCUCUUGGACAUUUGGAACCAUCUGCCCGAGGCCAUGUGCCGAGCUCUGCCAGCAGCCACCAGAGGCAAGGGGAAGCAGGAGGGGUGCACACCCUCAUCCUGGGCCUGCUAUGGCACCACUGGAGACUUCUGGACUUUAGGACCGAGAUGAAACAUACUACUAUUCUUCUAAAACCAUUCUUCUGCUGCCCUCUGUCUCAGUUCUAUCUUCCCAGACACAUAUCUAGAUAGUGUCUGACAGGGGCCCUAGAUCCCUCUCCUACCUUUACCACAGAGGGUUCAAGAGAGGCUCACAUCACUAGGGAGUCUUCUCCCUGCCCACUUCAGGGUAUAGGGGCAUCCACCAGCCUGGAGUACGGAGAUAUCUGCUAAGAGUGUGCUAUGUAGAACACAUGGAUAAGACCCUAUUAGGAAAUCAACAAGAAAAAGCAAGAAACAUAGCAAGAAAAAGCACCAGGUGGCACUGCCUUCUGUUACUGCUCUUCUACAAGCCUCAGAUGCUCGGAGCCUCACCCUGUAAGCGUCCAGAGCGUGCGGCUCCUCAGACAUGACAACUGAACUACGGUGAAUAAGACACUUGGUCCCUGUCCUGGGCAGCUCCCUUGAACAUGACCAAUGAUCCGGCCUUGCAGUUUCUCCUCCAGGUCUUUACAUCCUUCAUGGACUCUGUCACCCUAAUUGCCUGUCACUGCUCCUCCAGCCACUCUCUGAAACUCCUCAGCUGUCCCCUGGCUGCUCUUGUCACGGUUGUUCCUUGCUGCUGCAGUUCCCGGCAGCUGACUAAAAGCUGCUGCCGUCCCAUGAUCUUGGUGUCACCAGCCCAUUCUAGUAAUGAUAAGGAUCAGAAAUAGGAAAAAGAGAAAUCUUAUUGGACUCAAUGUUACAAACCCGGGGGCCACCCAGGAAAGAGUCUCCAGGGUGGCUGGGAAAGUGAGCUGAGUAACCUACUUACAUAGACGAGAAGUGGGUGUGCGCCAAUUGUGGCAGACUUUUAUGCAAACGGCGGACUGAUCACAGGCCUUCUGCUGUGCCACUUGGGGAGGUGACAGUCCUCUGGCCUGGGUGGAGAUGUCUGCAGGGUUAUCUAGAGUUCGCCAAGUCCAGCACAAACUGAAACAGGCGAAGCUGAAACAAGGCUUCCAGUGCCUUCUGGAGCUGGCGUUACUCUGUUAGCAAGCUGCUGUCAUUUCCAGGUAGCUUCCUCAAGGUGUCCAGGGAGUGUUUAAAUUGCUGGCACGAGGACUGUCCAUCUAACUGUUUAAGUGGUCAUCCUUUGCUCAAGAGGGUUGUGACAUCAUAGAAGCAUUCAACAUCAGUCGCUGUGGGAAUUAAAUUACCCUGGUCCCAAAUCUAAGCUUGCUUUUAAACAUAAAAGCAUUGGGUGUUCCCCUCUCCAUCCUCCCCCCAUUACCGUCCUCCCCCCAACAAUCACGUUCACUGGGGGUUCAGUCUUGGCAGGACCAAGGGCUUCCCCUUCCACUGGUGCUCUUACUAGGAUAUUCAUUGCUACCUUUGAGGUCAGAGUCCAGGGUCAGUCCAUGUAUAGUCUUUAGGUAGUGGCUUAGUCCCUGGAAGCUCUGGUUGCUUGGCAUUGUUGUACAUAUGGGGUCUCAAGCCCCUUCAAGCUCUUCCAGUCCUUUCUCUGAUUCCUUCAACGGGGGUCCUGUUCUCAGUUCAGUGGUUUGCUGCUGGCAUUCGCCUAUGUAUUUGCUGUAUUCUGGCUGUGUCUCUCAGGAGAGAUCUACAUCCGGCUCCUGUCGGCCUGCACUUCUUUGCUUCAUCCAUCUUGUCUAAUUGGAUGGCUGUAUAUGUAUGGGCCACAUGUGGGGCAGGCUCUGAAUGGGUGUUCCUUCUGUGUCUGUUUUAAUCUUUGCCUCUCUAUUCCCUGCCAAGGGUAUUCUUGUUCCCUUUUUAAAGAAGGAGUGAAGCAUUCACAUUUUGAUCAUCCGUCUUGAGUUUCAUGUGUUCUGGAGGGGUUAGGGGGAUGUUGGCCCGGGAACCGGGAAAGGGAAUAACGUUCGAAAUAUAAAUAAGAAAUACUCAAGUUAAAAAAAAAUAAAAGCAUUAAAAAA
Long non-coding RNA from Rattus norvegicus (Norway rat), 4008 nucleotides. Lineage: Eukaryota; Metazoa; Chordata; Mammalia; Rodentia; Muridae. The record is from Ensembl.